This 600-nucleotide ribosomal RNA is filed under the name uncultured bacterium. RNAcentral describes it as "bacterial SSU rRNA". It matches the Rfam family "Bacterial small subunit ribosomal RNA", at positions 730 to 1335 of the family's 1533-position model. The record is from RNAcentral.
GGGAGCGUUACUGACGCUUAAGCUCGAAAGCGCGGGUAUCGAACAGGAUUAGAUACCCUGGUAGUCCGCGCGGUAAACGAUGAAUGCCCGCUGUUUGCGUCUAACGUAAGCGGCCAAGUGAAAACGUUAAGCAUCCCACCUGGGGAGUACGCCGGCAACGGUGAAACUCAAAGGAAUUGACGGGGGCCCGCACAAGCGGAGGAACAUGUGGUUUAAUUCGAUGAUACGCGAGGAACCUUACCCGGGCUUGAAUUGCUGAGGAAAGAUCCAGAGAUGGUGAUGCCCUUCGGGGCCUCAGUGAAGGUGCUGCAUGGUUGUCGUCAGCUCGUGCCGUGAGGUGUCGGCUUAAGUGCCAUAACGAGCGCAACCCCUCUCUUCAGUUGCCAUCAGGCUAUGCUGGGCACUCUGGAGACACUGCCACCGCAAGGUGUGAGGAAGGUGGGGAUGACGUCAAAUCAGCACGGCCUUGACGUCCGGGGCUACCCACGUGUUACAAUGGGGGGCACAGAGAGCGGGGUGCGCGCAAGCUUGCCCAAAUCCUUAAAUCCCCCCACAGUUCGGACUGGGGUCUGCAACCCGACCCCACGAAGCUGGAUUCGC